AUCUUCAGUGGAACGUACCGAAGACCCGCAGGACCUACUGCAAGAAAUGCAAGAAGCACCAGCCACAUAAAGUGACCCAGUACAAGAAGGGCAAGGACUCUGUGUACGCACAGGGAAAGAGGCGCUUACGACAGAAAGCAGAGUGGUUAUGGAGGACAGACGAAGCCUAUUUCCCGGAAAAAGGCUAAAACCACAAAGAAGAUCGUGCUGAGGCUGGAGUGCGUGGAACCCAACUGCCGCUCAAAGAGGAUGUUGGCCAUCAAGAGAUGCAAACACUUUGAGUUAGGAGGAG
Long non-coding RNA from Cyprinus carpio (common carp), 292 nucleotides. RefSeq lists it as uncharacterized. The transcript has 3 exons. Lineage: Eukaryota; Metazoa; Chordata; Actinopteri; Cypriniformes; Cyprinidae. The record is from RefSeq and is a predicted model, not a curated record.